Molecule: transfer RNA, 103 nt
Filed under: Candidatus Aenigmatarchaeota archaeon
Lineage: Archaea; Nanobdellati; Candidatus Aenigmatarchaeota
Description: tRNA-Tyr
Rfam family: tRNA
About the family: Transfer RNA (tRNA) molecules are approximately 80 nucleotides in length.
Source: RNAcentral
CCCCUGAUAGCUCAAUAUGCCCUUUUUCUUUUAGGGGUGUGAGCAUCGGUAGAGCGCGCGGCUGUAGACCGUGAGGUUCUGAGUUCAAAUCUCAGUCAGGGGA